Molecule: long non-coding RNA, 539 nt
Organism: Oncorhynchus tshawytscha (Chinook salmon)
Lineage: Eukaryota; Metazoa; Chordata; Actinopteri; Salmoniformes; Salmonidae
Source: Ensembl
UGGGAAUUUUCUGAUAACAUGAACAUUGAAUACAAUGGGAUGCCCAUCCUCUGUUGAUGGAACACCAGCAGGCAGUUCAGUAUGUCAAGAGUCUGUGAGAGGGUUUUGUUCAUGCAGGAACAGUCAUGUCUGCGUUUCUUACAGAACAGUGUGAACAUGGAGAAUACUGCUGGUCCAGGAGAACGAAGUGUAGCCCCGGAGAGAGCCUGCUUCAUGCCUACAUCGUGUUACCUGUGGAUGUGUCACUGGUUAACGAGGAAACCCUUGGAUUGAAAGCUACUCUCCCCCACCAUAACAACAUACUAACUCCUCACGACGGUCCCACGCCACUUUCCAAACUCUGUGGUCUCCGCUUUGACAUCACAGACCAGUUCACCGUGACAAAGAGAUUGCCAAUGUUCUGUGUGCAGGUUGUCCCACAGCAGAGCACCUUGGAAAACGGAAUUCCUAUUAGAUGCCCACCUUUCUUGGUGACGAUGUGGCAGAGGCUGAAUAAGUAACCUACAAAGCAAUGGAGGGGGAUGAAAAGGACUUGUUUA